UCUGAUACCACUUAAACUGGAUGUCACGCCCCGAUCCUCGGGCACGUGCACAUCCUUCUAUUUGGUCGAUUUUAUAAUGCGAUAUCCCAGGACUAGUAUCGCCGACCCUUUCAUUUAUUAAGCACAUGCGGAAGCAGUUAAAAUCCCCAGACAAUAAAACGAUGGGAUAGAAAAGCAAGGCCAUAUUUUUCAUAUUGAAAUUUAUAACCAAACUUUUAUACAAAACACAAACCAACUUCAAAACUACUCACAUCAAAACGGAGAUCUCAAAAGAAGACAGAAACUUAAACGAACUGGGCCGCACUGAAGGCCCCUCUCAGAAUUGUCUUCUUCUUCCAAAAAUCCUUCUCCUCAGAUCUCACCUCCGAGUUCUCCUUCUCGGAUUCCUCCUCCACAGCUCUUCAGCGGGGUCCUGAAAUGGUUUUCCCCAAACUGGGAUGAGACUACGUCUCAGCGAGUUCUACCCCACUAAGCCCGAUUAGUAAACUAUUAUACUAAAGGCUGCCUAAACACACACAGGGCAGAGGACUUACCUUGGCCUCAGAUCUCACCUGCAAGUCAGUACAAUUCAUAAUAGGCACCCAAGCAAUCAUAUGACCGAUCGAAGCAUCGAUCAAAUCGACCUAGUCGAUUACAUGCCAAACAAAUCAAUCCCCACUGUGGGAUAUUUAAAAACUAGGCCACGUGUAUUCUCCAGGAUGACCUUCCAAGUCUCCGAGUCACGUGCCUCGAACCUUGGGCCCACGUGCAUUCUCUCAGGCGACCUUUUCGCCAAAGUGAUGCAUCAAGUCACCGAGACCACGUGCCCUUUUAGAUGCCCGGGCCCACGUGCAUUCUCUCAGGUGCAUUUCACCAAAGCGAUGCAUCAAGUCGCCGAGACCACGUCCCCUUUUAGAUGCCAUUCCGGAAUGCUGGACCCACGUGCAUUCUCUAAGGUACUCGCUUACCAAAGUGACGCAUCAGAUCACCGAGCCACGUGUCCUUUUAGAUGCCAAAUCCUGUCACCGAGCCACGUGCAUUCUCCAGGACGACAUACCGAGUCUCCGAGCCACGUGCAUUCUCUCAGGCGACCUUUUCGCCAAGGUGACAUAUUCAACCACUGAACUCACGUGCAUUCUCAAGGUGACAUUCCAAUUCACCAAGCCACGUGUCCUCUUUGCAGUGGUUACCAAUUCUACUUUCAAUACCGACAACCAAUGCCCAACAAUUUCUCAAUCAAAUAAUUAAAUUAACUCAACAAAGCAUUAUAAAUGCUGAAUAAACAUACUUGGCCAUUCACCAAUCGAUAAUUCAAUCUCAAUCGAUUCCAAUCAAUUUAGGGUAAAUCCCUAAAAUAUCACAAUUUAUUCAAUUCCAUACAACGUAGAGCUCAAAUAAAUAAACGGGCUGCGCCACGACGAUCGGCACGAGAUUUCGGUCGUCGGCCAUCAAAAUCUUAAUUUCCGAAAAAUAAAUAAUUAAUUAUUAAUUUCGAAAAUUAAUUAAUUACUAUUAAAAAUUCAAUUUAGCUCAAAAUAAAGCCCGAUUAAAUAAACGGACUUCACCACAGUCAUCAGCACAAUUUUCCGGUUCCGAACCAUCUCCCUUGAAUUUUCAGAAAAUAAAUAAUUAUUUAAUUUAAUUUCGAAAAUUGAUAUUUAAAUACUAAAAAUAUCCACUUAGGCCCGAAAAGCCUAAUUGGAGCCCACUAAGGGUCGGGAAAAUUCCCGAAGCACUUCCAAUAAUUAGUAGACCACGUCUACUUGCUAAUUACACAAUCAAUUUAUCUAAAUCACAUCACAAUUGACUAAUAAUUGCUAAUUUAUUCUAAUCUAACAACCUAAACAUAAUUAAUUAAAUCUAAACCAGCUUAAAGCAUAAUUAGCCACUAAUCCUGGAUUAGUGAGAUUACUCACCAAAUCGCCCGCAAAUCGGAUCAAUCCGACGGCGGCGACGCGAGGAACGAUUGUUCCCAAAGCACGGCUCGGGUUCGGGGCCGGGAAACGGCCCAAAAGCGGGCCCGAAGAUGCUGAAACCCACUCCGUGGGUCUGCUGGACGGAGCCGAUCGGGCCUGCUCCGGCGGCUAGGGCGGCGAGGGAAAGCCGGCGGAGGGCGAGGGGGUUGCGGGGGAGGUCCGGCGGGGUUGGCGGUGGCCGGAGGUGGCCGGAGAUGGGCUGGUCGGUGCGGAACAGCAGCUGGGUCGCGGCUGGAUCGCGUGGCUUGGGCGCGCACGGACGGGUGGCUG
This 2225-nucleotide long non-coding RNA is filed under the name Eucalyptus grandis. Its description in RNAcentral is "long non-coding RNA (EGRA_LNC003362)". Lineage: Eukaryota; Viridiplantae; Streptophyta; Magnoliopsida; Myrtales; Myrtaceae. The record is from RNAcentral.